Molecule: ribosomal RNA, 501 nt
Filed under: uncultured bacterium
Lineage: Bacteria
Description: partial 16S ribosomal RNA
Rfam family: Bacterial small subunit ribosomal RNA
Source: RNAcentral
AUUGAACGCUGGCGGCAUGCCUUACACAUGCAAGUCGAACGGCAGCACGGGUGCUUGCACCUGGUGGCGAGUGGCGAACGGGUGAGUAAUACAUCGGAACGUACCUUAUCGUGGGGGAUAACGCAGCGAAAGCUGUGCUAAUACCGCAUACGCCCUGAGGGGGAAAGCGGGGGAUCGAAAGACCUCGCGCGACUAGAGCGGCCGAUGCCUGAUUAGCUUGUUGGUGGGGUAAAAGCCCACCAAGGCGACGAUCAGUAGCUGGUCUGAGAGGACGAUCAGCCACACUGGGACGGAGACACGGCCCAGACUCCUACGGGAGGCAGCAGUGGGGAACUUUGGACAAUGGGGGCAACCCUGAUCCAGCAAUGCCGCGUGAGUGAAGAAGGCCUUCGGGUUGUGAAGCUCUUUUGUCAGGGAAGAAACACCGGCUCUAACACAGUCCGGGAAUGACGGUACCUGAAGAAUAAGCACCGGCUAACUACGUGCCAGCAGCCGCAGUAA